CAACAACCAAGCAACAACAAAUAUAAUUCCAUUUUCCUUGAUAGUGUCGAUAACAAUCUCGAGCUUUCCUUCAAUCCGCUCAUUCCUUCUAGGUUUAUAAGACAUUGCAUAUACCUCAGCUUCCUUUGAUCUCUCAGCAAUAACUCUCCAGGCGUCGUAAUCGGUAUGCAAUGGUAAACUUUCUGAGAUCCUUGGCAUUUGUAGUAGCAACUGAUAUCACUUUGCUUUUCCCUGGUACAUAACUUUCGCAUGGAUAAAUCUCUAUGAGAAGAAAACAUUGAGUAAGAUUGGCCUCAUAUACAUGGCUGUCCUCUGUUUCCAUGAUUUCUUGUUGAGCUUCACCUCGAGAUCUCCUUGUCCAGGCAGCUUGAAUGAAAGAUUUCUGUGUUGUAAUAGAAUGUUUGCUGUUGCAGUACUCAACAAGCGAGAUGAAAAUGUGGUCUGGUCCUGGCUUUCAGCACAAUGAAAUCUAUUCCUUGCUUUCAGAACUCAACAACUAUCUUACAACUGAAAGUAGAGUGCUGGUACACAAAUAAUUUCACUCCUUAGCCAACUAACAUAAUCUGAACUCAUUCUCAUACAGACAAAAAGGACCACAACCAUAAUAAUUGUCCUUGGGCUAGAACUAAAGCAGAUGGGGUGGGGUUUAUGCAGCUUUUAGAUUCAAAAUCUUAAAUCAGCAAAUUAAAGAAAAAAACUAAGAGAGAUUUUUUAAUUGCAUCCUGUAAAAGCCCAGAUCAAGGGGCAUUGAUUCCUGCAGAUGCUCAUAUGCCUAAUCUAAAUUUAAUGUGAAAUGUCACUUUGCAGUAAAUUAUUUUGGACAUCAAAAACACUACAUUUAGCCAGAUAAUUGGUCUUAACCCAGCUCCCAUAUGUUACCACUUCAACUCAGAUGAGGAACUGAUUAACCUUUCAAAACCAGAUAUGAGAUCCGGAAUAUGGCAAAGAACUCCAAUUGGUAAAUGUUAGUCAAUUUCCAACAAGAUCAGUUGUCACUCAAUUUUAUGAUUAAAGAGUAAGAACUAGUAUUGGAAUUAGCUCAAAAUUUCUAAAUCAUUCAACAAAAAACACCAGCUUCCUCUAGCCAAUCAAAUAUUAGACUCGUUUCAUAACAUUGAAGAUGAUCUACCCACCAUUGGAAAGUGGUGAUAUCUCACAAGAAAAGAAGGAAUAAAUCUCCCAACUGACUUGUUAUUCUGUCCAAACUUCAAAAUCUCUCAAAACUUUUAAUUUUACCUUACAAAUUCCCAGCAAAAGAACAUGCCCUAAACCAAAACAACUUAGGAAUGAUAAGUGCUGAACUAUGUUAUGUACUACUACAUGUUAAGUUCCUCACAAUGUGGAUGCUUUAGGUACGUAUGGUAGUCUACAUGCUACUGCCAAUAAGAUUUUAAUCUAAUGAAGUUUCCCACUUACCUUUUCACACACGAUAUUAUGAUGAUUAGUAUCUAAAUUUAAAUGAACUACCAUAUUAGUGUAAAGAUUUCCCUUUUGAAUCCACCAUAAAAUUUCACAUAUGCAGGAACAUCUUCGAGCACUAGAACUCUUAUUAGACUAUAAGGGAUUUCAUCAGAUAUUAUAAAUAUCUAAACUGUUUUCUGAAACCAAGAAAUAGGGAUUUAGGCUCACUCAAGUCCAAAGAAAGUUUCAUUAUUUCUGUUUAUCCUUAAGUGAAAAAGAAGAUGAGAAAGAAGCAAAAGAAAAAGGUUCUUUAUUGUCCACUUUGUCACAUACGAUUGGAGGAUUUUGAGUCAGAUUUCAGUUGUAUUUAAUUCCACUAGAAGUGUGUUAGAAGCUCUACUCUAAGCCAAUAGGCUUAUUGGACCAUAAAAGUGCAGAUUUUUGAAUCAUCAACUAUGUUCACCUAAAACUAACAAUGAAAUCUCAUUUUCUGUUGUUCUGCAGAAUCAAAACAAAGCCUCUUUCACCGUCUCGAAUAUAAUAUAUCUGUAUGGAGCAAAAUAUAACACUUCCCCCAUAAUUUAAUUUAUUAAUUGUUUUUUCAGUAUAUAUAGUUUUCAAUACAAAUAAAAAAAUUAAUGAUAAAACUCCACAAGCAAAUAAGGGUUACUCCUUGACAAGUAUAAAUUAAGGGCAAUAAAUGAAGUACUUCAAAGACAAAAUAGAUGCUGCCCUCUGUAUGGUUCUCUAGAAAGUGCAGCAGCGGAAAAGAAAACGAAAAACAUUAAACAUGAAGAAGAAAAGAAGCCCAACUUCAGUUGAUAAGUCUAGUGGCCAUAACACUAUCUUUUCCUUUUCUCAGGAGCCAAAUAGGGGAGAUUAAAAUAAAAAAAAGGUUUGAAAGAUUGAAGAAGGGAGUGCAAACCUUGUUAAGAGUGGGAUUCGAAGCUAAUAAGUGAGUUGUUAUUGAUGGAAAUGCUUAUACUAGGAAACGAAGAGACCCAUGAGACAGAAGUGGGUUUGCCGGUGCGACUUGAGAGUGAGUGGGAAGAUACAAGCGGGCGAGAUGAGGCAGGCGCAGAAGAAGAAGAUAUUAAUGCACGCCAUUUACUUUGUCGGACAGCAGUGGAAUCGCCGGUUACUACCACAAAACAAAUUCCGGCGAUUUUUAUAAAAUUAAUUUUCAUUUUUUUAAGAUGAAUUUGUAAUUUGAUUGAGAUUUUG
Molecule: unclassified non-coding RNA, 2625 nt
Filed under: Hevea brasiliensis (rubber tree)
Lineage: Eukaryota; Viridiplantae; Streptophyta; Magnoliopsida; Malpighiales; Euphorbiaceae
Source: RNAcentral